CUAGGCUCGUUGGAGAGGGACCAGUCUCUGCUCCCUACAACCUCUCUGCUGCAGAGGGCCCGCGGGAGUUCGCUCCGCUGGGCCCAGUAGAGAGGGUCUGGGUGGGCGGAGGUGCACGUGCCUCUCCCCCAGAGCCCACGGGAGUCUGGUAAACAAACCAAAAACUAUCUGAAAUUCUCCAAUCUGCCCAACUCCCUUCAAAAAAGUCAGGGAGCGCAUCCUCUCUGACAGUUUCUCAGAAGAGGAUGGUGAUGACGACGAUGAUGGUGGGGUUGUUCCAGAGAAACUUUUGAAGGAGGCAAAAGAAAAACAACAUCUCUACAAAAAGAAAUCAAAGGAAACGUCCCUGCAGGAAACAAGAACACAGUGAGAGUUUAUUUUUUUCCAUUUUUUAUUUAACUUAAAUUUGAUUUAAAACAGACUCAUUGACAUAUGCAUCCACUUAUCUAUGAGUGCUCAUUACUUAAUUUGCUAUAUUCUAGAUGGCAUAAGUACCACGUACAACCCAGAUUUGGUCUUUAAUGAUUUACAAAUAUUGAUGAACUCUGUGCAGGUGCACUGCUAGCUGUGGUGUCUAUAAAUAGCCAGAUAGCUUCACUUAAUAUAUUUGAUUCAAUAUUUCUAAUAUUUCUAAUAAUGUAGUUAGUCAUUACAUAUUUCCUUCUGUUAAGAGGAUCAGAAGAACAGAAGAGCAGCAGUUGAGGCUGAAAACAAAACACUCCGUGCUCUCAAUAUUGAGUUUACAGCAACAGCUGCUGAAGAAGUUGAGCAGCACAUCAAGCCCACACUUGAUAAUUAGGUUCAGUCAUAAAAAAUAACUAAGUAUGCCCAUAUUUACUAAACUGGUUUUAGUGAAAUUGUAGAAGUAUAGUUCCUAAUGAAAGUGGGUAAAAGUAGGCAAGGAACUGCAACUGUGUUUACCUUAUGCUCUAUGUAGUUUCAGAAACUGGAUGUGAGACUGGAGAGGAGCGAUCUGUACCCAAGGAAACAUAUAGUAUAUAGAAGUAAACAAGACCUCUGUAUUCCGUGGUUAAUAUAAUAACUAUCUUUCAAGGAUUUCUUACAAUCUAAUGUUUUGAUUGUUUAUGUUUUGGAUUUUUUUCAGAUUACCUGGAAGGAGACAUUAGCAUCAGGAAAGAGGCCUUGGUCCGAAUUAUCAGGAACAACCACGACUCCUUAUUUGUCAAGGAAUUGGCAGUGGCAAUCUGGAGCACUAAAGCGCUGGGGGGGGAAAGCCUUACAGGGAAGGAGUGCCCCACCACCAAAUCCACCCGCCAGCCUUUAACCCCAAAGAAGCUGCAAACACUGAAAGUCUGCUUCAAGGAGUGGCUCCAGGAAAAAAAACUGGAGGAUACGGAGUUGCAGGCCAGAUGGGCAAAUGCUGGACGUUAUAUAACUGAAGAAAUCAUGGUCAUAAACUAACAAAAACAAAAAAUCAGUUAAUUAAUGAGUGAUUGAAAUGUUUAAUGUUUUGAUGUUGAUGUUUUAAUAGUUAAUUCUAAAUAGUUAUGUAAAUAGUUAAUUUGGUUGUUUCUCUUUUGUAAAGUGUUCCAUGUUCUUUAUUAUGUGUCUGUCAUAUUUAAUAAAUGGAAAUACUGUUUUGAAAACCUGACCAAUCAAC
Molecule: long non-coding RNA, 1621 nt
Organism: Cyclopterus lumpus (lumpfish)
Lineage: Eukaryota; Metazoa; Chordata; Actinopteri; Perciformes; Cyclopteridae
Exons: 3
Source: RefSeq, a predicted model, not a curated record